This is a small nucleolar RNA of Callithrix jacchus (white-tufted-ear marmoset), 89 nucleotides long. NCBI's taxonomy places the organism in Eukaryota, Metazoa, Chordata, Mammalia, Primates, Cebidae. The record is from Ensembl.
UGUCUCUACUAAAAAUACAAAAAUGGUCCUCUUUUGCAACCCAAAACUCAUUGUUCAGUAUGAGAUUUGAUAAUAUAAGAAGGAAUAUG